UGGGGAAUAUUGCACAAUGGGCGCAAGCCUGAUGCAGCCAUGCCGCGUGUGUGAAGAAGGCCUUCGGGUUGUAAAGCACUUUCAGCGAGGAGGAAGGUGGUGAGCUUAAUACGCUCAUCAAUUGACGUUACUCGCAGAAGAAGCACCGGCUAACUCCGUGCCAGCAGCCGCGGUAAUACGGAGGGUGCAAGCGUUAAUCGGAAUUACUGGGCGUAAAGCGCACGCAGGCGGUUUGUUAAGUCAGNUGUGAAAUCCCCGGGCUCAACCUGGGAACUGCAUUUGAAACUGGCAAGCUAGAGUCUCGUAGAGGGGGGUAGAAUUCCAGGUGUAGCGGUGAAAUGCGUAGAGAUCUGGAGGAAUACCGGUGGCGAAGGCGGCCCCCUGGACGAAGACUGACGCUCAGGUGCGGAAGCGUGGGGCAGCAAACAGGAUUAGAUACCCUGGUAGUCACGCUGUAAACGAUGUCGAUUUUGGAGGUUGUGCCCUUGAGGCGUGGCUUCCGGAGCUAACGCGUUAAA
RNAcentral lists this ribosomal RNA (518 nucleotides) under uncultured bacterium. RNAcentral describes it as "partial 16S ribosomal RNA". It matches the Rfam family "Bacterial small subunit ribosomal RNA", at positions 355 to 864 of the family's 1533-position model. The record is from RNAcentral.